UGAGGAAUCUUGCGCAAUGGGGGAAACAGCGAUAAGGGAACCUCGAGUGCCAGGUUACAAAUCUGGCUGUCGAGAUGCCUAAAAAGCAUUUCAUAGCAAGGGCCGAGCAAGACCGGUGCCAGCCGCCGCGGUAACACCGGCGGCUCGAGUGGUAACCGUUAUUAUUGGGUCUAAAGGGUCUGUAGCCGGCCGGAUAAGUCUCUUGAGAAAUCUGGCAGCUUAACUGUCAGGCUUUCAGGAGAUACUGUCUGGCUCGAGGCCGGGAGAGGUGAGAGGUACUUCAGGGGUAGGGGUGAAAUCUUGUAAUCCUUGAAGGACCACCAGUGGCGAAGGCGUCUCACCAGAACGGACCUGACGGCAAAGGACGAAAGCUAGGGGCACGAACC
Molecule: ribosomal RNA, 386 nt
Filed under: uncultured prokaryote
Description: bacterial SSU rRNA
Rfam family: Archaeal small subunit ribosomal RNA
Source: RNAcentral